This 392-nucleotide ribosomal RNA is filed under the name uncultured bacterium. Its description in RNAcentral is "bacterial SSU rRNA". It matches the Rfam family "Bacterial small subunit ribosomal RNA", at positions 364 to 746 of the family's 1533-position model. The record is from RNAcentral.
UUAGAUAAUGGAGGGAACUCUGAUCUAGCGACGCCGCGUGCAGGAAGAAGGUCUUCGGAUUGUAAACUGCUGUGGUAAGGGAAAAAUGCUAUGUAGAGUGGAAAGCUACAUAGAUGGAUGGUACCUUACUAGAAAGCCCCGGCUAACUACGUGCCAGCAGCCGCGGUAAUACGUAGGGGGCGAGCGUUACCCGGAAUCACUGGGCGUAAAGGGAGCGCAGGUGGCCUAAGAUGUCAACUGUGAAAACCCGGAGCUCAACUGCGGACUUGCAGUAGAAACUAGUAGGGUGAGGGGCGGUGGGGGAAGACAGAACUGCCAGUGUGGGGGUAAAAUCCUUAGAUAUUGGCAGGAACGCCGGUGACGAAGGUGGUUUGCUGGGCCGGUUCUGACAC